Molecule: long non-coding RNA, 756 nt
Organism: Betta splendens (Siamese fighting fish)
Lineage: Eukaryota; Metazoa; Chordata; Actinopteri; Anabantiformes; Osphronemidae
Exons: 3
Source: RefSeq, a predicted model, not a curated record
ACAAAGGCUCGGUUCAGGCUCAGCGGGACAAGGGAGGGGUGAGGUUUAAUGCUAAUGCGCUUGGGAGAUAGUGAUGUAUAAGGGUCAGUGGGUCGCAUUCUCUCAUAGUAUCAGAUGACAUCAUUGCAAAAAGGGAGAGAGGGAGGCAGUGGCAAAGUCAAAGUACCGCUCAGCAAUGAUUAAGAGGCUUUUACUUCACGGGGGCAACGAUGUGGGCGAGCGCUAACACCGACGCCUAGCUUAACGCGUCUAAGCACACAGGGCCGCGCUGCCGUGAGACUAAACCCAGACAGAAGUGAGACAAGGACAAGCAAAUGGACCCCUCGCCCUCUGCUGCCUGGACCCGCGAUCCAUCAGGGGCGAAACGCUGGACGGGAAGCGGCUCCAUCAGAUUACAGGAGCAGAGGAGCGGUCUUAUUUCCUGUUUGCUCAGGGCUCACAGAUCAGGUGUCAACCGUCUGGUGUCCAUAAUCACUGCUCCGCUCCCUUUAUCCCCCAUCUCUACAGCCGCACACUGACCUUCAGUGUGUCCCCUUAGAAGCUAACAUCUGGGCUGAAAAAACAGUGAGCUGGUACAACUUGUGAAAGUAAAGUGCAGCCGGAGCUCCUGACCCUCGGCCGAGAUCAGGACCUGUGCCUCUGUUGGAUGCUGCGGAAAAAAGAACGCACGGAGAUGGGUUGACAGAACAAUGGCUGACUUAUCGCGUGCGUGGACGCUCAAGCGGCCGGAGAGACGCGGACCGACUCACCUCUCUG